GCCUGGGUGGCUCAGUCGGUUAAGCGUCCGACUUCAACUCAGGUCAUGAUCUUGCGGUCCGCGAGUUCGAGCCCCGCAUCAGGCU
This 85-nucleotide transfer RNA is filed under the name Felis catus (domestic cat). It matches the Rfam family "tRNA". Rfam says of the family: Transfer RNA (tRNA) molecules are approximately 80 nucleotides in length. The record is from Rfam by way of RNAcentral. Lineage: Eukaryota; Metazoa; Chordata; Mammalia; Carnivora; Felidae.